AGAGUUUGAUCAUGGCUCAGGGCGAACGCUGGCGGCGCGCCUAACACAUGCAAGUCGAACGAGAGAUGAGGAGCUUGCUCUUCAGAUCGAGUGGCGAACGGGUGAGUAACGCGUGAGGAACCUGCCUCAAAGAGGGGGACAACAGUUGGAAACGACUGCUAAUACCGCAUAAGCCCACGGCUCGGCAUCGAGCAGAGGGAAAAGGAGCAAUCCGCUUUGAGAUGGCCUCGCGUCCGAUUAGCUAGUUGGUGAGGUAACGGCCCACCAAGGCGACGAUCGGUAGCCGGACUGAGAGGUUGAACGGCCACAUUGGGACUGAGACACGGCCCAGACUCCUACGGGAGCA
RNAcentral lists this ribosomal RNA (346 nucleotides) under uncultured bacterium. Its description in RNAcentral is "bacterial SSU rRNA". It matches the Rfam family "Bacterial small subunit ribosomal RNA", at positions 8 to 349 of the family's 1533-position model. The record is from RNAcentral.